This is a long non-coding RNA of Catharus ustulatus (Swainson's thrush), 3275 nucleotides long. RefSeq lists it as uncharacterized. The transcript has 3 exons. Lineage: Eukaryota; Metazoa; Chordata; Aves; Passeriformes; Turdidae. The record is from RefSeq and is a predicted model, not a curated record.
GGGUCCGGUUCCAGCGGAGCUGCGCCGCCGCCUCCGACGGGCUCUCGAGGGCCGAGAAGACGGUGGCGCCGGCGCUCAGCUGUCUGCCUGCAGAGAGGAACAGAAUGUGCCACAGUGAGUGAUGAAAGGAGGAAAGCAUCUCCUUCAGGACUCUUGGAUAAGUGGCCCGAAUUUGCUAAUGAAGUUGCCAGAGGAUGAUUCCAAAAAGAACUUUCCAGUUAAUGCAAGAGCUCUGUACUGCUUACUUGUACCAGUGAUCAGUGGCAGCCUGAACUGUCUUUGCUUGAGCAUACAUUAAACUCCUCACUCUUCCUGAGCAUUAAGAAGCUACAAAUAAGCAUUUCAAAAAAGCUGUAAAAGGUUUGUGCCUUCUGAAGGGACGUGAAUUGCGUUGCAGUCAGUGGGUGGUGAGCGACUGCUUUUCUUUGCACCACUUGUUUUUCUUGGGCUUUACUUUCCUCUCUGGCUGUUGGUUGAUGGCAGUGUCAUGAGUGAGGGUGUCCAGAAGAAGCUUCCCAGGAUUCAGAAUGAGAGGAUGAUGGCCACAGGGGACUGCAAGCUGCAUUUCUGGAGAAUAUUCUUUAUCCAUCAAUGUCAUUUCAUGAAGUUUGAAGAGUAAUAAGAAGGACUUUGAGAACAAAACACUCUCAGUAAGAAAAAUUGUACCAUUCUGGUAAUCCACUUAUUUAUAAGGUGUGUUUUCACAGGAGAGUUGAGCCUUAAACAGCUUAUUCCUGAAGCCCUUUUUCUCCAUAAGAAGUGUGAUAUAUAUUUUCCCUUAUUAGCUCCACCUGCAUAUUUUUAAAGUACAAUUCCUUUAUAAACCACUAUUUUCUGGAGACAAAUAUCACAGCCCUAUAAGCUGUUCAUCUUCCUGAUGGAAGAGGUAUCCUGCUGUUGCCAGCAUCACAAUUUCCCAUUAGUGGCAUAUUUGCAGCUUGUAGCUAAACAUUAAAUAGACUAUGUUAAACCACAAAUCCCUAUAGAGCGGCUGUUCUGGUCGAACAUUUAAUUAAUUAACAAAAUCCCCAUAGAGCAAGUCAGGCCUCUUAGCUCCUUCACCAAGAGGGGCUGAAUGAUUUUUGGAUGAUUUAUUGUCAUUAAAGGGAAUGUUCAGUCUAGUCUCCAGGGAUCAAUAUGCAUGAAAUAAACUUCAAUGGCUUUGCAAAAACAUAAACACAUUUGUAUCACCCUUAUUUUAUAUGGAUGCAUUUUAUGGUUUAUUAGUUAUAUUUUCACCAUAAGUACUUGGGGUUCUUUUGCAGUGCAUACACUUUUUGUAAAGUAUUUUUAUAAAAUAUGGAACCUUACCAAUCCAUUUAAAAGAAACUGUUUUUUUUGUUUUUGUAUAUUUCUAAACAUAAUUUCUCACUAUGAGCUGCAAUAGCACAGAACAUUUCAAGUGCUUGUGCCCUUUUUCUUCCCUUUAUUCUGGUUUUUUUUUUUGAGAGAAAGGCUAGAACUCUUAAUCCUGACCCACAAGAAAUACAAUAUUUUUAUGCAAUCUUAUCUGUGCUGUGUUGUAAUGCAGGCUAAACCUUGCUUACUAACCUCAGGGUUAGUUGUGGUUAGUACAAUGUAAGUACUUAGACAAAAUGUAAAAGACAAAAGGCCCACACUCAGAGAGAAAUUACUUUCUUCAGGUCACAAGGGAGAUGUAGCAGCAGAGCUGGACCCAGAAAUCUAUGGGGCCAUGUCUUACAAUCCAAUUGCUUGGCAGUAAUAUAUUAUAUAGUUUUUGAUUUGUUUUUUACUGCUACUUUAUUGUGUUACCUGCUAUUAUACAUAAUCAGUCUUUAGUUUUUAACCCAGCAUGCCUUAUUUUCAAGAAAAAUCUGAGUGGAAUGCACAGCAUUCUACGAAGAAACAUAGAUUUUGUGUAUAAGCCUCAAGACAGAACCAUAAUUUCCCUCUAUGACAGGCAGUUGCUUACUAAUAAAAGAGUUUUUCCAACAUUGUACGGGUAAUAAAGAUAAAUAUUCAUGUAGCCUGACUUCACUGCUCAAAUGGACACAUGGUGUUUCAUGCAAGCUGCCACAGUGAUGUCACAUCAAACCCUGAAGAGGUGUUGGCUGCAUGAGUGAAUUACAGCAGAAAGUUGUAGCAGCACCUGUGAGGGUGACGGGGAGUUUGGAACACCCCAAAAUAGGUGUGGUGCUGCCCCUGUAGAUGGAGAUACCAAUGUAGACAUCAAUGUCCUGUAGAGAGAUGUCAGUGUUGAGAACAAGCCCCUGACCUCCUCAUAUUUUCCCCAAAUCACAGUGCAGCAAAGUGAAAUCCUGACUGUGCUAUAAGCUGAGAACACAAGUCCCUCACAAAAAAUCCUGGCCCUGCACAGACCAACCCCAAGAAUCACACCAUGUGCCUGAGAGUGUUGUCCAAUUUUAAAUGAUAACAGCCAGGGGUCCAUCUAUUUUCUUUUUGUCCCCAAGUUCAGUUGUUUGUUUGUUUGCUUUUUUUUUCUCCAGAGCACUUGUACCAGAAUGAAAUUAAUUGGUUUGUCAGUGCAAGCCUAGAAUUUAUUGUGAAAAAAACAGCACAAGCAACAGUAUUUAAUCAUCCACCUUCCAUGUCAGAGCUGGAAUUAGCUCUGCGGAAACUUCUCCUUGCCAUUAAAAUGAGUGGUAACAGAGGAGAACUGGUGUGCACUGGUAGGAGUGAGUCUGCAAAAGAUUCUAAUGUACAGUGAGGGUUUUGAAUAUUAAAUAGAAGUUAAUUUGACAGUACAGGGAGGAGCAGGCUCACCCCAAAGUGGUGUCCAGGCUGGAGAGGUUUCCUGAGGAGACACAGAGAAUCUUAACAAGGCAGCAGCUCCCUUAAAUGUUGGACCCCACUUGUCCAGUAAGUCACUGAUCUGCAACACUUCCUUUAGCCAGUUGUGACAUGGGGCUUUCAAGAUAAUCCCUCCUAUCUGAGGUUUAAUAUUACAUCCAUUUCAAAUGGGAUAAGGCUAAGACUUUGAUCAUGAAACCUCAGCUUAGGCAGAAUGUAAUUCAAAAUGUUGAAAAUAACUUAAGCCUGUAUUUCUUACCUACAGAUUUAAGAAAAGUUUCUUAUUUGGUCUCAACCUAUUUUUUUUCUUCAAACAUGAAGCAAAUACAGGUUAAUUAAAAAAAAACCUGGAAGUGUGUAUAGAACAGCAAAUUUUUCUUUUUCUAAAUGACACUGAUUUGAAUCCAAGCCAGGCUGGGCAUAUAACACAAUUAAAGGUGUUUUUCUGUGGGAACCCAGGAUAUUCCCCUGGUUUCCCUGGAGCCUGUACAGGGGGCUCAGAA